Anas platyrhynchos (mallard) is the source of this 7447-nucleotide long non-coding RNA. RefSeq lists it as uncharacterized. Lineage: Eukaryota; Metazoa; Chordata; Aves; Anseriformes; Anatidae. The record is from RefSeq and is a predicted model, not a curated record.
CAACGAAGGCAUUUCCAGAAAAGAUUAGAUCUCCUCUUUUUACUGAAAUAACAACCGUUUAAAGGUUGAACUUGAUGGGCAGAAGGUGCAAACAGCAAAAUGUGAAGGGGAAUAAAAGUAUGUUCAACCACGGGCGGCGAGGAGUGAAGACAGUGAGUUUUCACACAGAGCUGAGUAUUUUAAGCAAGAAGUCGGUGGAGUAAGAAAUAGAAUUCCUAAAUGAGCUCACUCUGUUCUACUGAACUGCAAGAAAGGGAGAUAUUUCAGUGGCUAAGACAAAUGGGAUGAUUUGCCCUCAAAGAGUGUGCAUCUCCACUGACCAUAAAAGGAGCUUGGCUCGGUUACCAGUGGAGCUUCCUGUGGGCAGAUAAGUUAAAAAAUGAACAUGCAGAACACGUCCUGCAAGCCAGCAACAAGGAAUCUGGUAUUAGACAUUAGAGGGCUAUGGAUGGCCUACAGGUUGGAGGUACUUUUCCCCUUUCUGCUUUGUAGCUCAGCUGUUCUCAUGGGAAGACUGCUGAGAUCCCAGCUCUUCUGAAGACUGUGCCACCUGAACAUAUUCUUUCUACCACAAGGAAGACUAUGGCCAGUCCUCCAGCAAGACACAACAUCCCUUCAAUGCUGCAUGGUGUCUAGAAGUUUAAUUGGAUUUUUAGCUUACCUGGUCUCUAAGAGCAACUUCAUUCAACACGGACAGCAUCCUACUGGCAGUUUUGCUUGGUGAACUCUUUCCCAGAGGUUCAAGUCAGAUGAAAAGAUUAGGGAGCCUAGGCAGAGCUUGUGGGUGCAGGCCCUUCCAGGUGGAGUCCACACACAAGUAUGGGUCUGCAGCCACUCAACCUAAUGGCUGCCCUUGCUGGGUCCUGUGGGCAGCAUUCUUCAGUGCCAAAACUCUUCACUCAUUCCCCUAUGCAAUACGAACAAUUUCUGCUCAUAGUCUCUAUACUCUGUAGUGUUUUGUAGGUUUUCAGACACAAGUUGGCUGUAGCAAGUCAUUGCUGCUGCUAAUUGGAUUGGUAAUUAAGCCCCAGGUUGUUCCCUUGGUUGUGUUUGGGCUUGUCUUCCUGGAUGACAAGAAGUCAUGCCUUCUUAAGUCAGCUGUCACUGAAAACCAAGCACUUAGGGACUCACUUAUUUAGCUGGACUGAAGGAUAUUCUUAUUUAAUACCACUUUUUGCUUUUAGCAGACUUGAUUUAACAGUGCUGUUAUACCUCCCAGCACAAGAAUAUAAAUGGUUAUCUUAGAAAAUUUUGUCUGACAGCUCAAGUUUCAAGUAAUCGCAUAAAGAAGUGUGGAAGCAUUCUUGCAGUGACUCAAAACCAGUGCAAAACCUUCCAGGUAAUAAAGUUGUAAUUUGCUCUCAAAACCAGCAUACUCAGGGGCUGAGUCCACCAAGAGAUGGCAUUUGCACUGUGUUUGGCUAGUGCUAUAAACUAGUGGUAGCACGUUUAUGUACUAAAGACUUUUUACUGUAAGUCAUUUUUAAUGUCAAAGACAUUUUAUAAAACAGUAGGGGAAAUGUUUGCCUGAGCUUAGUCAAAGAUGAGAUCAUUAGGUACUGGCACAAAGAAAUGGGGAAUAUGAAGAAUUUCUUAACAUGGAGAGAAAGGCAGUCGGAAAAUUUUUUACAAUCUCAGAGUUGCAGCCAGAAUGUGUAAGCAUUUUUUCUUGUAUAUUUUUCCUCACAUUAUAGUGGAAUAGGGUGUAGAGUAUUGCUUUUAAAGUAGAACAGUAACACAAGUUGUAAAAAACAGUUCUUGAAGCUUACAUAAAAUCAAAAGGCCAUUCAAGGUAAAUAAUAUCAUCUAUUCCUUCUGUUAAGUGGCAGUUUAGCUAUUCAUAGGCAGUUUGUCAGACAAGUUGAAAAUCAGGAGAAAAUGAGAUCAUAUUUGUUGGUUUCUGUUUAUUGUUCAUUAGCUUGCUUUUGUUGCAACUAUUUACAUAUUUUUGGCAUUCACAGAAGAAAUAAAAGUCCCAGUGUUUUGGUGAAAAGAGCUCAGCUAGGGAAAUAAAAAAUCUAGUUAUGCUGCAUUUACUUCACUUUGUAUGUGUUUAAAUGCAAUAUUUAGGUGCUUAGAGUUGGUAAUGAACAUUUGUAAUGCAUGUUAAAAUCUAAUAAUCCAUUGUUCCAUCUUUUUUUAAUAGGGAGUUUCCUAUUUUCAUAUUUUAUGAACAGGCAGGGUUUCAACUCAAACAGAGCUUAUAUGAGAACACAGAAAGAAAGAGGAUGCGAUGAAUCUGUUGAUGUCUUCUUUAAGCAUGUCUUUUUAAGGAAGACAAUGUUCAAAACCUAAUCCUUAUAAAGCAAAUGACUACUCGUUUUUCACUGAGUCUCUGAUUUCCAUGAUGUGAUCUACUUACCUCUUGUUUUCUUAGUAAUUAUGUGCUUCAAAAAUGUCAAAUGAUGUGAACUGAGGUUUAUUAAAGAUUGGACACUGUGCAAUAUAUAUACUGUCUUGACUAUCAAAAUUAAAAAAUAAAAAUGUCCGUUUUUCAGUUGGGAGUCAGUGCAAGGAACAAAAAGGUAUGCAGGUUUGUGCAUGGGUGUCUGGCAAAGAGACAGUUCCUUCAGAAGUCUUCAAGGAAAAUAAAGCAAGAAAAUAUUUUGGUUAAUAAGUUAUAGAUUAAUAUCUGGAUAGUUAUUUUCCCAGCAAUGACAAUAACAGAGAUUCUGCUGUUCUUUUGUAGAAAUGGCUUCCAGAUGCGAAUCAUGGUCUACAGUCCAAGAUUGAAUGUGAUUUAAUAAGUUUUUUAUCAGUAAAUUAUAUAAUAUGUUGGAAUAUGAACAUUGUCACUGCACUGUGAUUCCCUCUACUUUUAGAUGGUUGUUUAUUCUCUUCAUUUGUUCAUUUCUGGUUACUACUGCCUUUUGAAUAUUUGUGAGUAUAAUCUGGAAGAAAAAAAUCAGUAUCGUAAUAAGCACAUGGCUGUGACUAUGUCAUAAUAAGGCUUGGAGUACCAGGUUAGAAGACUGUGAUUUUUAAAGACAAAGCUCAUUCAUAUGUUUUCUUUGUAGCAUCAGAAGAAGAUAUAGUUCAGGUUAUCAUGGGCUUUAACGUGGUCAUUUUAAGGCAGAAAUUCAAGCACCUUGGAGUAAUCACGGGUUUUGAAGAGACUGCUUCUAUCAUUUAUGGUGGUAUGGUAAUAUUAUAUGGGAAAAUGUGAAAUUCUGAGAGGAGUAGGGACCAGAGUAAAGCCAAAUCGCUACAGGGUUCGAGCAGCAAUUGGCUGUAAAGUUAAUAUGGAGCAAGAGUUGGAUGUUGCAAGGUUGAGCAUUAAUCCAGUGCCUGGUAGAAAAAUAAUUUAUCUGAGUUUCUGCCUCAUAGUGGUUGUACUAUGCAAGCUAUUGAACAAAACAAAAUUAAAAAGCAACCCUCUGUGAAGUCCAUAGAUUAUAUUUCAUGAUACUGACAUCUUCUGUCAAUGUGAAGAUGAAAAAUACGUGCUGUAUGGAUGGGAAUAGCUCCCUUCCAAAUCCAUUUACAGUAGAAGUUCGAACCGGGGAGGAAAUUUGUCUUUUUAUCAAAAUUAUUUUUAUUGAGAGAAGCAGAAGUGCGUGUUACAUAUACAUGUCUUCUUGCAUAGUGUACAUUCUGAUACAGUUAAUUCAGCCAAUUUUCUGGUAUUAUUCUCAAGAUCUGUGCCAUGGAUAUUAGAGUCCUCCAUAUGGGUACAUUUAUUCCUCUGAUUUUUUCCAUUUCUUCUUCUUGUAAUAACUGUAGAAAAUCAAGCAUUUUAGUUGAAAUGUAGAGUCAUUAAGGUUGUUUUAGAGGAUCUGAAGCCCUCUCGCGUUUUGUGUAGUCAGUUAUUUUGUUGUAGAAAGAGUUGCAUCUAGUUGUAUCUUCAUUUAUUUUUUAGUUCAAGCAGAGAUGGAAAUUAAAACUAUCUAUUUUGCAAAACAGUCUAUUCUUUUUACAUCCAGUUUAUGCAUAAAUGAAUAUUUCAUUUUUUUUUACAGGAGGUGUGGGUUUCCAGCAAGCCUUCAACUCUGAAUGUAAAAUUUGGGGAUGAAGCAGGCCACUUUUUCAAAAUGCAAAUACAUGCGCUGUGUUUAGACUGGGAAGAACAGCACUGAAUAUUUUGCAUGUAAUUUUUCCUGGAAUAUCAAGCUAGCAUCUACUGCUUUGGUAUUGAAAACGUCGCUGAUUAUGAUGCCAGGACUGUUUUAUUGGGUGGUUGGAAAUCACUUCUGAGUUGGAAGGGGAUUCUGUCCCCACUGGAAAAUCAUACCUGGCAAGACUUUAGUAUCCUCUCCCCUUGCCAUUGGUGUCAGUAGAUUUCUCAGGAAGAAAGAUUUGGUCCAUCAGCAAUAUGGUCAAGCAGCAGACAGUUAAACUUGAUGUUACCACACUCUCAAAAUAUCUAGUACCCGUGACAUUGUGAAACGUAGGUUAGUUACAUUAAUGACAUUUUUCUGCUGAGGUUUCAGUGUAAAAGGUGUGUGAUUCAUUGUGAUUUCAGUAAAGUCCUCCACACUGGAAAUGAGGAUGGUCUUUCUAUGAAGCGGUUGGAAGCAGUAAGGCUGAAGGUCUUGAAGGAACCUACUGCCCAUUAGUAGUCAAGUAAGGAAAUAUAAGCAUAUUUAAUCAUAUAAACACAUUGCUGUAGUGAUUCAUUUAUAAUGGCAUUUUAUUCCCUCGAUAUUUUGGUUUGGUAGCACCGCUACAUCUGAAGCAGUGACAUUUAAGUGCUAAAAAAAGUUUGGUGCCAUUAAAUGAGGAAGCACAGAACCGAAUUUGAGGACUCAAAGCUGCACAUUUGUACGCCAGAAGCCCUUUGCAUCUCCUACUGGAUACGCUGUGCUGCACAGUGAGCGUGGUGUAGAAACUGAUGCCAAAGCUAGCUCAUGCACUGGAAGCAGGCUAGCCCAUUUGUGCGAUGCUUUGCCAAAGCUAAUUUACUUUGCAAAGAAACAGGGUAAAUGAGACAGGAGGCAGCACUAAGCGAUGUGGUUAAACUGCUUCCAGUUACCCAAGCUGGCUCCUCUCGAACUGCUUUGGCCACCUCUCCACAGCUCUGCGUUGUGUAGCACAGCUAUUCCCUGAGUAAAAGUGAUGUGGGAGAAAAGGACUCCUGUAAAGAAGGACGGAUGAAUUGUACCCAUCCUUUCUUCUCCCCCAAAGUAUCUGUCUUCAGAUACAUGCAGAAUGUACAACUAAGCCUGUCUCCAAAUAACUACAGUAUAACUGUCAUUGCAUUUGACCUCAGAAAUGCGAUUCUCUGAGUAAACACAGCAAAUGGAGGCACCACAACUGAUUAUAAUUAAAUAUAAGUGGCUAAGCACAGAUCUGUGGUAUAAAUAGAUGUGUUAGGGCUGACAGUGAAAGUCUGAGUUCAGCUUACAUGCGAGCCUUUGCAUUACUCAUGUAAAUCAAUGUUCUCACUUACAAGAGAAACCUCAUAAUUUACCACUACCCAUAAAGUAUCCUCUCUGUAAUCAAUGGUGAUUCCUAUACGGAAUUAUUGUGCAGAGCAACCUUUCUUCCAUCCAUAUCCUCAGCGUGAUUGCUGUAUGGUUUGGCAGCGCGACAGAGAAGUAUCCAGUGAGCUCAGUAGUUUUCUGCGUGGAAGGACUUCACUGCCCUAAUUUGGUACAAAACUUCCAUUCAGCUUAAAGCAAGCAGAACUGCAAUUAAAUACUCCAAAUGGUGGGGGACCAAGUGCAAUCUUCAGGGGAAGAAAAUGAUUUCUAUCCCCCUGUAUUGAGACUUUACAAUGAAAUUCAACCUAAUUUUGUUCUAUGUGUAAGUAGAAUGUGUUACCUGAAAGCGCUGUGUGCUGUCUGCCAUGCUGAUAAGAGUACAGGAUGUUCUGGCUGUUUUUCCUUCUCUACUUUAGCUUAUAAUGAAAUGCCACGCUGGUUGUCAGCAGCCACCACGCAGCUGCAUGUGCAGGACCUGAGCCAGAGGCAGGAACAGCCCGUGAUGCCAAGAAGUGCAUCCAGGGUGCACAGGCUGAUGGGGACGCGGUGCAGACUUGUCUUUCCCUGGCAUUAAAAGAUGCUGGAGCUGGAAGUUGAGAGAAACUGAAGCACUGGCACUCAGGAGGCUGACAGGACCAGGACAGCGGAUUUUACAGUCAGUCAAGCAGAGGUUUUCUGAAUUGCUUUUGUGGAUUUGGAUCGCCUGAACUCCACUUUCGGUUCCUUACGUGCAUCCUGAGCGUGUGGCUCUGCGUUCCAAGGAAAAUAUAGGCUACAUCUCAAAUAAACAAAAUGAAGAAAUAAAUAACGCUUUUUUUCCAUUUUAGUAUGCGAUCUGAAGUCCUAAAAGAAAAAAAAAUCAUGCAGUUUUCUAGUCACCUAAGGAACUGAUGCCUCUGGAUGAACUGAGCACACCUCUUGCAGUUACAUAAAACAGACACUUCCAAAUGCAAUGUUUUAUUAAGGUGUGAUUAACUAAGGGGGAUAGAAGAGUUUUCUGAAAAAAUAUGGUAAACUAAUAAAUGGCACAUUUAUUCUAAAAAAUUGUAAUUCUCCUUGGCAUUUGAUUACAGCAUGUGAGAUCAAGGAGUUACUGACAAAGUAUGUGUAAGCUGACAAAGCUAUUUAUGCUACAAAAACCUGCAGUUACACACUUCCCUGUUCCUGUUCUGGCUUUGUAUGAAACCUGCUUUUCUUUUUUUUUUGCUUUCCCCUCUUAAGGAUAGCUCUGUAUAUCAAUCCUAUACAUAUUUUUUCAUAUAAUUUGUGAUUUUAUAAGAUAACACCACAUCAUUAUAUAAGCCAUCAUGUUUUGUUUGGAGAAUAAACAGAUGGGUAACUCUUUACUUCAAAGGGUACUUUCAGUAAAGUGUCUUCAUGUAUCUUUCUCAACUUCUACCAAGAAAGCAGUGUAGUAUUCUUAGUGUUGUCUUUUUGCUGUACAAUGUUAAGACUAUGGGGAAAAAAAAAACACAGAGGCUACUGAAUCCUUGGUGAUUGCUUUGCAUAUAGUCAGUAAAAAUGUAAUGUACUCACAAUAUUACUUUUUUGAUGAUCUUUAGUGACUGGGCUGUGAUAUGAGAUCUCCAUUUAAAAGGUUAAAAAAGCACGAGGGAUCGUGGACAGACAACAUUACUAAUCCUCAGAUCUGCAGACGUAUCCUCAACUCAGCAUGGUUCACAAACACCGUGUCUGUAUUCAGCUUCAAAUUCGCUGUUCUUCUUUUAGGUGCAAGGAAGGAGGCAUUUAGGAAGGACAGGACCCUACCAGCUGUUCUCCAGCCACAUGCAUUAAACUGGUGAAGAUUUAUCUUUGCAAUCUUUGCCUUGGCUUUCCUUGAGUGCCUGGUUGUGAUGUGCAGUGCCUGGAUCCCCGGCACCCAUGGCAGGGCAGCGCUUGCAGCCACGCACAGCUCCUGCUCCUCCCGCCUGCACUUGCAAGUGCUCAGCACUCCUACAAAUACCAAGCACCAAGAAAACCACAAUUAACAACCACAUGUGAGAUGUGACUAAUAUCACACAGGA